Molecule: long non-coding RNA, 314 nt
Organism: Micropterus salmoides (largemouth bass)
Lineage: Eukaryota; Metazoa; Chordata; Actinopteri; Centrarchiformes; Centrarchidae
Exons: 4
Source: RefSeq, a predicted model, not a curated record
AUCUGCCAGCCACUCAGUCUACUAGCCAGCCAACCAUUUCUGUUUUGCUUUAUUCUGUGGGCUCGUGUUAGAUCAGGAGGCAUAUGUAAGCAUCAUGCAAGAUGUUUUUCACAUGCGCUCUUACUACAUUUUGGAAGCGAACAACACUAUAUUUUUAACUGGAAACAGUAAGAUGACAGAGGCUGACAAAAGAACCCUUAUUUCCGCUUACCGCGAACUUUUUCUUAUGUGUUAUUUAGUAAACAAAAUAGGUGGCAGCGGCUUUGCGGAAGGCUUCAUGUCGACGAAUCAGCUGCUCCACCUCGUCUACACUG